UCCCACAAUAUGGAAAGCAUUGAAAAAUAUAUUGUGAAGGAGGCAGUGUAAGGUGAAUUGGUGCACAGUCCCCAUAACACGCUUGGAUUUAGAUGGUAGGGAGUUGAUGAGUUGCACAGUGGCCAUGCUGUCGCAUCAAAAAUGGACUGCAGAAUUGCUAAAUCCACUUGUCCAAAUUCUCACAGCUACUAGCAUUUCUUGCUCCCAAAAGGAUAAUCCAUUGAAGCUCUGAAGGAUGUCCUGUCACCUGGAUAUUAUGAUGCAAUUAUGACAUCCCACAUAUAGCAUCACAUGGCCCAUGCAAAAAGGCCCUACUUGGUGUGAUAACUCUGUAUGCUGAAGUUGAAGUGGCCAAUUAAUUCCUGGAACUCUCAAAAGUUAAUGGAUAAGAUGUAAAGUAUUGUUUCUAUAAGCCACUGUCUUCUACUAAAAAGAAAGGAACAUUUCCAGGCACUACACGAAGUAGGAACAGCUGCUCGAGCUUUAAUAGCUCAAAGAUGGCGUUCGAAAGAUACCCCAUCGGAAGACGCAUGGAUCACCAAAUUAAGGGAAUACAUGGACAUGGAUACGAUGACCUUUUUACUGCAAGAUUAUACCAAAAAACAAAAGACGGACUGGUCACCAGUAAAAAAAUUUUACAAGGGAAACAUCAGAUUAAUUUUGAAUAGUUGGUCAGAGCAAAGAUAGACAUGCGUCAGACUGAGAAUGUGCGGGGAUAUGGGCAAGGAAAAUUUAUAGCAUAAUGUAAAUGAAUUACUGCCCCUGUGGAAUCGA
Long non-coding RNA from Anolis carolinensis (green anole), 774 nucleotides. RefSeq lists it as uncharacterized. Lineage: Eukaryota; Metazoa; Chordata; Lepidosauria; Squamata; Anolidae. The record is from RefSeq and is a predicted model, not a curated record. The transcript has 2 exons.